This 443-nucleotide ribosomal RNA is filed under the name uncultured bacterium. RNAcentral describes it as "SSU rRNA". It matches the Rfam family "Bacterial small subunit ribosomal RNA", at positions 26 to 518 of the family's 1533-position model. The record is from RNAcentral.
AGAACGAACGCUGGCGGCAGGCUUAACACAUGCAAGUCGAGCGCCCCGCAAGGGGAGCGGCAGACGGGUGAGUAACGCGUGGGAACGUACCCCCGGUUCGGAAUAACUCAGGGAAACUUGAGCUAAUACCGGAUACGGCUGGAAGGCGAAAGAUUCAUCGCCGGGGGAUCGGCCCGCGUCCGAUUAGCUAGUUGGUGUGGUAACGGCGCACCAAGGCGACGAUCGGUAGCUGGUCUGAGAGGAUGAUCAGCCACAUUGGGACUGAGACACGGCCCAAACUCCUACGGGAGGCAGCAGUGGGGAAUUUUCGUCAAUGGGGGCAACCCUGAACGAGCAACGCCGCGUGCAGGAAGAAGGUUUUCGGAUCGUAAACUGCUUUCUCGGGGAAGAGAACGGACGGUACCCGAGGAAUCAGCCCCGGCUAACUACGUGCCAGCAGCCGC